Molecule: ribosomal RNA, 896 nt
Filed under: Pseudeurotium bakeri
Lineage: Eukaryota; Fungi; Ascomycota; Leotiomycetes; Thelebolales; Pseudeurotiaceae
Description: LSU rRNA
Rfam family: Eukaryotic large subunit ribosomal RNA
Source: RNAcentral
GCAUAUCAAUAAGCGGAGGAAAAGAAACCAACAGGGAUUGCCUCAGUAACGGCGAGUGAAGCGGCAACAGCUCAAAUUUGAAAUCUGGCCUCACGGUCCGAGUUGUAAUUUGUAGAGGAUGCUUCGAGCAUGGUCUGGCCUAAGUUCCUUGGAACAGGACGUCAUAGAGGGUGAGAAUCCCGUAUGCGGCCAGGUGCCUACGCUCAUGUGAAGCUCCUUCGACGAGUCGAGUUGUUUGGGAAUGCAGCUCAAAAUGGGUGGUAAAUUUCAUCUAAAGCUAAAUAUUGGCCAGAGACCGAUAGCGCACAAGUAGAGUGAUCGAAAGAUGAAAAGCACUUUGGAAAGAGAGUUAAACAGUACGUGAAAUUGUUGAAAGGGAAGCGCUUGCAACCAGACUUGCGUGCGGCCGAUCAUCCGGUGUUCUCACCGGUGCACUCGGUCGCGCUCAGGCCAGCAUCGGUUUUGGUGGUUGGAUAAAGGCCCUAGGAAUGUAGCUUCUCUCGGGGAGUGUUAUAGCCUAGGGUGCAAUGCAGCCCACCGGGACCGAGGACCGCGCUUCGGCUAGGAUGCUGGCGUAAUGGUUGUAAGCGACCCGUCUUGAAACACGGACCAAGGAGUCUAACAUCUAUGCGAGUGUUUGGGUGUCAAACCCAUACGCGUAAUGAAAGUGAACGGAGGUGAGAACCCUUAAGGGUGCAUCAUCGACCGAUCCUGAUGUCUUCGGAUGGAUUUGAGUAAGAGCAUAGCUGUUGGGACCCGAAAGAUGGUGAACUAUGCCUGAAUAGGGUGAAGCCAGAGGAAACUCUGGUGGAGGCUCGCAGCGGUUCUGACGUGCAAAUCGAUCGUCAAAUUUGGGCAUAGGGGCGAAAGACUAAUCGAACCAUCUCGUAGCUGGU